GGCAAAGAGACAUUGAACUGCAACCUUCGACCUCCACCAGAUUUAUCUGCACAUAUUGCAGGAUCUCUGCGGCGUCUACAAAAACACGCGUGCGCACGUGUGUGUGCCUUUUGUGUGUUUCCAGGAUGGAUUCAUUUUGAGCGUCCAUUCAAACAGGAGGUCAACUAUUUCAAGCCGACCUGAAGUGGGCGACCAACAUCAACUCCGUCCUCAAAAAGGCCCAGCAGAGGAUGUACUUCCUGCGGCUUCUGAGAAAGCUGUUGAGGCAGUUCUACACAGAAGUCAUCGAAUCGGUCCUGUGUUCUUCCAUCACAGUCCGGUUUGACGCUGCUACAAAAAAGGACAAACUCCGACUGCUGAAAGGAUUGUCGGUACCCCCCUACCCGCCCUUGAGGACUUGCACGCUGCCAGAACUAAGACAAGGGCGUGCCAAAUCCUCUGGGACCCUCCCCACCCCGGUCACCGGCUCUUCCGGCUCCUUCCCUCAGUCAACCUGACUGGAGAUGGCCACAAACGUGCAGAGUGCCAACAUCCGGCGUGCGUGUGUGGUAUACGCUCACACCAGCGACAAUCGACAACUCUUAUUUGAGUGAGGGAUUCAAACACAGCCACGCUCUCUACUUUGAUUGACAGCUCUUUUAGCACCCAAGCACGGCUAAUAAUAUCACAUUAAUGUG
Molecule: long non-coding RNA, 677 nt
Organism: Phyllopteryx taeniolatus (common seadragon)
Lineage: Eukaryota; Metazoa; Chordata; Actinopteri; Syngnathiformes; Syngnathidae
Exons: 4
Source: RefSeq, a predicted model, not a curated record